GAUCCUGGCUCAGGAUGAACGCUAGCUACAGGCUUAACACGUGCAAGUCGAGGGGCAGCAUGGUCUUAGCUUGCUAAGGCCGAUGGCGACCGGCGCACGGGUGAGUAACACGUAUCCAACCUGCCGUCUACUCUUGGACAGCCUUCUGAAAGGAAGAUUAAUACAAGAUGGCGUCAUGAGUCCGCAUGUUCACAUGAUUAAAGGUAUUCCGGUAGACGAUGGGGAUGCGUU
This 231-nucleotide ribosomal RNA is filed under the name uncultured bacterium. RNAcentral describes it as "partial 16S ribosomal RNA". It matches the Rfam family "Bacterial small subunit ribosomal RNA", at positions 15 to 237 of the family's 1533-position model. The record is from RNAcentral.